AACGAACGCUGGCGGCAGGCCUAACACAUGCAAGUCGAGCGCCCCGCAAGGGGAGCGGCGGACGGGUGAGUAACGCGUGGGAAUAUGCCCUUUGCUACGGAAUAGUCUCGGGAAACUGGGGGUAAUACCGUAUACGCCCUUUGGGGGAAAGAUUUAUCGGCGUAGGAUUAGCCCGCGUUGGAUUAGGUAGUUGGUGGGGUAAUGGCCUACCAAGCCGACGAUCCAUAGCUGGUUUGAGAGGAUGAUCAGCCACACUGGGACUGAGACACGGCCCAGACUCCUACGGGAGGCAGCAGUGGGGAAUCUUAGACAAUGGGGGCAACCCUGAUCUAGCCAUGCCGCGUGAGUGAUGAAGGCCUUAGGGUUGUAAAGCUCUUUCAGCUGGGAAGACAAUGACGGUACCAGCAGAAGAAGCCCCGGCUAACUCCGUG
RNAcentral lists this ribosomal RNA (431 nucleotides) under uncultured bacterium. RNAcentral's name for it is "partial 16S ribosomal RNA". It matches the Rfam family "Bacterial small subunit ribosomal RNA", at positions 29 to 507 of the family's 1533-position model. The record is from RNAcentral.